UACAGAGGGUGCGAGCGUUAAUCGGAAUUACUGGGCGUAAAGCGCGCGUAGGCGGCUUUGCAAGUCGGGUGUGAAAUCCCCAGGCUUAACCCGGGAACUGCAUUCGAGACUGCAUUGCUAGAGUAUGGGAGAGGGAAGUGGAAUUUCCGGUGUAGCGGUGAAAUGCGUAGAUAUCGGAAGGAACAUCAGUGGCGAAAGCGACUUCCUGGACCAAUACUGACGCUCAUGUGCGAAAGCGUGGGGAGCAAACAGG
RNAcentral lists this ribosomal RNA (253 nucleotides) under uncultured bacterium. RNAcentral describes it as "partial 16S ribosomal RNA". It matches the Rfam family "Bacterial small subunit ribosomal RNA", at positions 524 to 776 of the family's 1533-position model. The record is from RNAcentral.